RNAcentral lists this long non-coding RNA (2827 nucleotides) under Olea europaea subsp. europaea. Lineage: Eukaryota; Viridiplantae; Streptophyta; Magnoliopsida; Lamiales; Oleaceae. The record is from RNAcentral.
CUAGCCUCUUUUAGUUUUACUCUCUAAAUUUUUGAAUUAUUAGUUUAACAUGGUAUCAGAGCAUUUAUUAUUAAAUUCACUGAUCAUGUAUGUGUUCUUCUCAAAAUAAAGAUUGGGUGGAUAAUUUAUAAUUUGGGAUUUGAAUUAUUCUUGGCUGCCAUGUCCCAAAUCUAUAAGUUCAUUGGUUUGUUGUCAAUUGUGCUAAUUAUAAUUUAGAAUUUGGGAAUAGAAUGAUUCUUGGCCCACCGUAUCCCAAAUCUGUAACUUUUUUUGCUUGUUGGCAAUUAUGAAAAGAAUUUGAGAAAGUAUGGAAGAGGAAAAUUGGUGAAAAUUUGGAGAGAGUCAGUGCUUUGUAUCUUAUGAGUGGAGAUUUUUUUUCCAACAAGAUUGAACAUAUUAGAAGAAAGUAACCGUUUCUUGGAAACCUUUUGUUCAUAUCGUCAAUUUCAACUUGGCGUACAGGAUUUAGUAAGUUUUGGCUUAUGAAUUUUUGGCUUCCACAAUUUUUAUUUUAUAUAUUUAAAGUUCCAGCUUUGAAAUUUUUUGGCUUUCAGUCAUGUUUAAAUAGUUUCAGAAAUUUCUGGAAACACAGUCAAAUGCAACACUGCUACAUGCAAUGUCUGCCUCUCAUAUAGGUUUGUCAUCUUCUCGUUGUAUAUCAUCCUCUUUGUAGGUCUUAGAUUUGGGGGCUUCCCAUCAUAUGUCACCUAAUUUAGCCUCAUUUAUUUCAUUAUCUCCCAAGUCUCCUAUGUCGGUUGUGACUACUGAUGGUACUCCUAUGUCUAUUGUAGGCAUUGGUUCUGUUAAUACACAUUGUUUAUCUCUCAAUGACGUCUAUCAUGUUCCUAGUCUUACUUUAAAUCUUGUUUCUGUUAACCAAUUAUGUGAAUCUGAAUAUUUAGUAUAUUUUUCUUCUACUACCUAUUAUGUGCAAGACCCGCAAUCUCAAAAGGUGAUUGGGAUUGGCCAUAGGCAAGAGGGACUAUGUCUUGGAUAUGCUUAAAGUACCAGAAAUUGUGGGUUCUAGUGUUGAUUUGUCAUCUUUCCAUUCUAUUUAUGGCAUUCUCGUCUUGGUCAUGUUUCAGCAUCUCGUUUAAAGUUCUUAGUUUCUACUGGAGCAUUAGGUAAUUUGAAACUAGAUAACAUUUUUGAUUGUAGAGGAUGUAAAUAGCAAAAUUUUCUGCAUUACCUUUUAAUAAAAGUACCUCUGUUUCUGUUGCUCCCUUUGAUCUCAUUUACUCUGAAAUAUGGGGACCUUCUCCCGUUACCACUAAAGGGGUUUCAAGAUAUUAUGUUUCCUUUAUUGAUGAUUGCACUCGUUACUGUUGGAUCUUUCUUAUGAAAUGUCACUAUGACUUCAUUAGUAUUUUCAGUACAUUCAGAGCACUUGUGAAAACUCGACAUUCUACUAUUAUCAAAUGAUUUCGAUGUGAUUUGGAUGGAGAGAAUACCUCUAAUGCCUUUUCUAAUUUGCCUGCUUCUAAUGGCACCAUUCACCAAACUGCUUGUAUAGACAUUCCCCAAACAAAAUGGUGUUGAAAGGAAACAUAGACGUCUUGUUGAGAUGGCCCAUUCUAUUUUAAUCUCUACAUCCACUCCUAAUGAAUUUUGGGGAGAAACAAUGCUUACUACUGCUUAUUUGAUUAAUAAGAUCCUAACCUUACAUAAUUCAGGAUUGUCUCCUUUUGAGAAGUUGUAUGGAUAUACUCCCGAUUAUUCUUCCUUACGUAUCUUUGGUUCUACAUGUUUUGUUCUUCAACCUCAUGUUGAGCAUAGUAAAUUAUCAUCUAAAUCUUCUAUUGUGUCUUUCUAGGCUAUGGCGCAGGGCAAAAGGGAUAUCAUUAUUUUGAUCCAAUUAGUCAAAUAUAUUGUCUCUCAUCAUGAUAUAUUCCUUGAACAUAUAGCUUUCUUUUCUAUUCCUGCUUAGUUCUCAUAACAUGACUAAAUCUGAUCUUAUUCACAUUAAUCCAUUCGCUGGUGAUACCGAGAUUGUCCCACAACUAGUUCCACACACAUCCACUCUCACUUCAGAUCUUGAUUCUUGCAAGGUUUCCAUUGAUAGUUCUGCAGAUACAUCAGUUGUUCUCUCUCUUCCUACGAUUGCCCAACCAUUUCCUGAGACUAGGUCUCCUUCUCCUUGAUGCAACAUGUAAGUCUACUAAAUUACCAGAUUUUGCUUACACUUGUUACUCUAGUACUUUCAUUUCAUUUUUAUCUUCUAUUCAUUGUCUUUCUGAGCUUUUGUCCUCUAGAGAGGCAAUUUGUGAUCCAAUUUGACAUGAGGCUAUGGCUGAGGAACUUAUUGCUCUACAUCAGAUACAUACAUUGGACUUGGUAUCUCUACCACCAGGAAAACGAACUAUUGGUUCUCAAUAGGUAUAUAAAAUCAAAACUAAAUAGAUGGAUCUAUUGAAAGACAUAAAGCUUGAUUAGAUGCAAAGGGAUAUUCUCAGGAGUGUGGUAUAGAUUAUUAGGAGACCUUUGCAUAUGUAGCAAAAAUGACUAUUGUUCGCACCUUUAUAUAGUUGCUUCUGUUUAUUGAUGGAGUGUAUCUCAGAUGGAUGUUAAAAAUGCCUUCUUAAAUGGAGAUCUACAUGAAAAUGUCUAUAUGGUUCCUCCUCCUAGUGUUUCUCAUCAACCUGGUAAAGUUUGCAAAUUUAGAAAAGCUCUCUAUGGUCUCAAAUAGGCAGCACGCGCUUGGUUUGAGAAGUUUUUGCUUCACUUGGUUUUCGUUUUAAUCAUCAUGAUUCAGCUUUAUUUUACAAAUGUACAGCUGCUGGUCACAUUUUAUUCUCUUUAUAUGUUGAUGACAUGAUUAUUACUGGUG